Podarcis lilfordi (Lilford's wall lizard) is the source of this 71-nucleotide non-coding RNA. Lineage: Eukaryota; Metazoa; Chordata; Lepidosauria; Squamata; Lacertidae. The record is from the annotation of a GenBank genome assembly.
ACUGUAGCUCAGUGGUAGAGCCUACCUGUUUAGCAUGCAGAACAUCCCAAGUUUGAUCCCUGGCAUCUCUA